CAGGCCUAACACAUGCAAGUCGAACGGGACCUUCGGGUCUAGUGGCGCACGGGUGCGUAACGCGUGGGAAUCUGCCCUGGGGUCUGGGAUAACGGUUGGAAACGACUGCUAAUACCGGAUGAUGACGUAAGUCCAAAGAUUUAUCGCCCUGGGAUGAGCCCGCGUAGGAUUAGCUAGUUGGUGUGGUAAGAGCGCACCAAGGCGACGAUCCUUAGCUGGUCUGAGAGGAUGAUCAGCCACACUGGGACUGAGACACGGCCCAGACUCCUACGGGAGGCAGCAGUGGGGAAUAUUGGACAAUGGGCGCAAGCCUGAUCCAGCAAUGCCGCGUGAGUGAUGAAGGCCUUAGGGUUGUAAAGCUCUUUUACCCGGGAUGAUAAUGACAGUACCGGGAGAAUAAGCUCCGGCUAACUCCGUGCCAGCAGCCGCGGUAAU
Molecule: ribosomal RNA, 435 nt
Filed under: uncultured bacterium
Lineage: Bacteria
Description: bacterial SSU rRNA
Rfam family: Bacterial small subunit ribosomal RNA
Source: RNAcentral